UGACUUAAUUUUAUUUCAUUUAUUUCAUGUGUAUGGGUGUUUUGCCUAUUUGUAUAUUAUAUAAAUUACGUGUGUACAGUGCCUACGGGAACCGGAAGAGAGCAUCAGAUCUCCUGGGACUCAAGUUACCAACAGUUGUGAACCACCCGGUGGACCCUGGGAAUUGGACCCCCGUCCUCUGGAAGAUCACCUGGUGCUUUUAAGUCCGAACCACCCUGGUCCGUCGGUUGGUCGGUCUGCCUGCCUUCCGUUGUUUACUGUCUGUCUGUCUGUCGGUCUGUCUGUCUUUCUGUCCGUCUAUAUCUGGUCUUUCGAGACAGAAUCUCUGUGUAAUCGUUGCUGUCCCGGAAUUCGCUCUGUAUACACUGGCCUCAGACUCAGAGCUUUGCCUACCUCUGAGCGCUGAGAUAAAAGGCGUGGGAUCCCGCCAGCCCCUUACUUU
This 442-nucleotide long non-coding RNA is filed under the name Rattus norvegicus (Norway rat). RNAcentral describes it as "long non-coding RNA NONRATT022966". Lineage: Eukaryota; Metazoa; Chordata; Mammalia; Rodentia; Muridae. The record is from RNAcentral.